This 253-nucleotide ribosomal RNA is filed under the name uncultured bacterium. Its description in RNAcentral is "partial 16S ribosomal RNA". It matches the Rfam family "Bacterial small subunit ribosomal RNA", at positions 524 to 776 of the family's 1533-position model. The record is from RNAcentral.
UACGAAGGGUGCAAGCGUUACUCGGAAUUACUGGGCGUAAAGGGUGCGUAGGUGGUUCUUUAAGUCUGCUGUGAAAUCCCCGGGCUCAACCUGGGAAUGGCAGUGGAUACUGGAGAGCUAGAGUGCGGUAGAGGGUAGUGGAAUUCCCGGUGUAGCAGUGAAAUGCGUAGAUAUCAGGAGGAACACCGGUGGCGAAGGCGGGUCUCUGGGACGGUACUGACGCUGAGACGCGAAAGCGUGGGGAGCGAACAGG